CGGUAGGGUGCGAGCGUUGUCCGGAAUUAUUGGGCGUAAAGAGCUCGUAGGCGGUUUGUCGCGUCGACUGUGAAAACUGGGGGCUUAACUCUCAGCUUGCAGUCGAUACGGGCAGACUUGAGUUCGGUAGGGGAGACUGGAAUUCCUGGUGUAGCGGUGAAAUGCGCAGAUAUCAGGAGGAACACCGGUGGCGAAGGCGGGUCUCUGGGCCGAUACUGACGCUGAGGAGCGAAAGCGUGGGGAGCGAACAGGAUUAGAUACCCUGGUAGUCCACGCUGUAAACGUUGGGCGCUAGGUGUGGGGGACAUUCACGUUCUCCGUGCCGUAGCUAACGCAUUAAGCGCCCCGCCUGGGGAGUACGGCCGCAAGGCUA
RNAcentral lists this ribosomal RNA (373 nucleotides) under uncultured organism. RNAcentral's name for it is "bacterial SSU rRNA". It matches the Rfam family "Bacterial small subunit ribosomal RNA", at positions 525 to 896 of the family's 1533-position model. The record is from RNAcentral.